AUUUCCAUAUCAUCUGGUGUGUGUUUGAUGAUAUGAUGACUAUGAUGAUGAUGAUGUUCAAACCUUAAUGCUUUUAAUAUCUGCAAUAAUCGACUAAACUUUGUGUCUUAGCUCUGUGAUCUUCUAUAUGCUUGAAUGUUUGGGGGGAAAGAAACCCCAAAAUUUCCAGUUAAGACUAACAAGAUCGGUGGGUUCUACUUUCCUAAUUGUCCAGCCUUAACCAGGUAUGGAGAAGCAACCGGUUUCAUCUUUUAUUCUGGUUACAUUUUCAUGCAUGGGAGUUUUCUUUUCUGGCAGUGGAACUUGCGUUUGGUUGCUGAGAAAACAGAAGUAUGAAAUGAGUUUUCUCAUGAUUUUGGUUAAAUUUUAUGUUUUCU
This 377-nucleotide long non-coding RNA is filed under the name Vitis vinifera (wine grape). Its description in RNAcentral is "long non-coding RNA (VVIN_LNC001143)". Lineage: Eukaryota; Viridiplantae; Streptophyta; Magnoliopsida; Vitales; Vitaceae. The record is from RNAcentral.